CAAUAGCGUAUAUUAAAGUUGUUGCAGUUAAAAAGCUCGUAGUUGGAUUUCUGGCUCGGCAAGCCUAGCCCGAGGACCUGGUGUCCUUGUGAGCUGGCGCUUGUCGGCCAUCCUUCAGGAGAGUGUUUCUGCCCUUGAUUGGGUUGGGGACAGGAUCCUGAUCGUUUACUUUGAAAAAAUUAGAGUGUUCAAAGCAGGCGUGUGCUGUGAAUACAUUAGCAUGGAAUAAUAAGAUAGGACUUCGGCCCUAUUUUGUUGGUUCUGGAGCUGAGGUAAUGAUUGAUAGGGAUAGUUGGGGGUGCUCGUAUUCAACGGCCAGAGGUGAAAUUCUUGGAUUCGUUGAAGACGAACUUAUGCGAAAGCAUUCACCAAGGAUGUCUUCUUUAA
RNAcentral lists this ribosomal RNA (387 nucleotides) under uncultured eukaryote. RNAcentral describes it as "partial 18S ribosomal RNA". It matches the Rfam family "Eukaryotic small subunit ribosomal RNA", at positions 592 to 976 of the family's 1831-position model. The record is from RNAcentral.